This 836-nucleotide ribosomal RNA is filed under the name uncultured archaeon. RNAcentral describes it as "bacterial SSU rRNA". It matches the Rfam family "Archaeal small subunit ribosomal RNA", at positions 41 to 878 of the family's 1478-position model. The record is from RNAcentral.
UGACUAAGCCAUGCAAGUUGAAUGUUCUUCGUGAACAUGGCGGACUGCUCAGUAACACGUGGACAACCUACCCUUGGGUCCGGCAUAAUCCUGGGAAACUGGGAAUAAUUCCGGAUAGGUCACCGAUGCUGGAAUGCGCGGUGGCCGAAAGCUCCGGCGCCCGAGGAUGGGUCUGCGGCCUAUCAGGGUUGUAGUGGGUGUAACGUACCUACUAGCCUACGACGGGUACGGGUUGUGAGAGCAAGAGCCCGGAGAUGGAUUCUGAGACACGAAUCCAGGCCCUACGGGGUGCAGCAGGCGCGAAAACUUUACAAUGCGGGAAACCGUGAUAAGGGGAUCUCGAGUGCCAGCAUAUAAUGUUGGCUGUCCAGAUGCCUAAAAAGCAUCUGUUAGCAAGGGCCGGGCAAGACCGGUGCCAGCCGCCGCGGUAACACCGGCGGCCCGAGUGGUAACCGCUAUUAUUGGGUCUAAAGGGUCUGUAGCCGGCCAGGUAAGUCCCUUGGGAAAUCUGGCAGCUCAACUGUCAGGCUGCUAGGGGAUACUGUUUGGCUUGGGACCGGGAGAGGUGAGAGGUACCUUGGGGGUAGGGGUGAAAUCUUGUGAUCCUCGAGGGACCACCAGUGGCGAAGGCGUCUCACCAGAACGGGUCCGACGGUAAGGGACGAAAGCUAGGGGCACGAACCGGAUUAGAUACCCGGGUAGUCCUAGCCGUAAACGAUGCUCGCUAGGUGUCAGUCACGGUGCGACCGUGAUUGGUGCCGUAGGGAAGCCGUGAAGCGAGCCACCUGGGAAGUAUGGCCGCAAGGCUGAAACUUAAAGGAAUUGGCGGGGGAGCA